UAGCUCAGUGGUAGAGCGCUUGCCUAGUAUACAAGAAGCCUUGGGUUCAGUCCCCAG
RNAcentral lists this transfer RNA (57 nucleotides) under Ictidomys tridecemlineatus (thirteen-lined ground squirrel). RNAcentral describes it as "Spermophilus tridecemlineatus (thirteen-lined ground squirrel) tRNA". It matches the Rfam family "tRNA", at positions 8 to 63 of the family's 71-position model. From Rfam's summary of the family: Transfer RNA (tRNA) molecules are approximately 80 nucleotides in length. Their secondary structure includes four short double-helical elements and three loops (D, anti-codon, and T loops). The record is from Rfam by way of RNAcentral. Lineage: Eukaryota; Metazoa; Chordata; Mammalia; Rodentia; Sciuridae.